This 253-nucleotide ribosomal RNA is filed under the name uncultured bacterium. RNAcentral describes it as "partial 16S ribosomal RNA". It matches the Rfam family "Bacterial small subunit ribosomal RNA", at positions 524 to 776 of the family's 1533-position model. The record is from RNAcentral.
UACGUAGGGUGCGAGCGUUGUCCGGAAUUAUUGGGCGUAAAGAGCUUGUAGGCGGUCUGUCGCGUCUGCUGUGAAAAUCCGGGGCUCAACCCCGGACUUGCAGUGGGUACGGGCAGACUAGAGUGUGGUAGGGGAGACUGGAAUUCCUGGUGUAGCGGUGAAAUGCGCAGAUAUCAGGAGGAACACCGAUGGCGAAGGCAGGUCUCUGGGCCAUAACUGACGCUGAGGAGCGAAAGCCAGGGGAGCAAACGGG